This 484-nucleotide ribosomal RNA is filed under the name uncultured bacterium. RNAcentral describes it as "partial 16S ribosomal RNA". It matches the Rfam family "Bacterial small subunit ribosomal RNA", at positions 30 to 507 of the family's 1533-position model. The record is from RNAcentral.
AUUGAACGCUGGCGGCAGGCCUAACACAUGCAAGUCGAGCGGAUGAAGGGAGCUUGCUCCUGGAUUCAGCGGCGGACGGGUGAGUAAUGCCUAGGAAUCUGCCUGGUAGUGGGGGAUAACGUCCGGAAACGGGCGCUAAUACCGCAUACGUCCUGAGAGAGAAAGUGGGGGAUCUUCGGACCUCACGCUAUCAGAUGAGCCUAGGUCGGAUUAGCUAGUUGGUGGGGUAAAGGCCUACCAAGGCGACGAUCCGUAACUGGUCUGAGAGGAUGAUCAGUCACACUGGAACUGAGACACGGUCCAGACUCCUACGGGAGGCAGCAGUGGGGAAUAUUGGACAAUGGGCGAAAGCCUGAUCCAGCCAUGCCGCGUGUGUGAAGAAGGUCUUCGGAUUGUAAAGUACUUUAAGUUGGGAGGAAGGGCAGUAAGUUAAUACCUUGCUGUUUUGACGUUACCAACAGAAUAAGCACCGGCUAACUUCGUG